RNAcentral lists this ribosomal RNA (669 nucleotides) under uncultured soil bacterium. Its description in RNAcentral is "bacterial SSU rRNA". It matches the Rfam family "Bacterial small subunit ribosomal RNA", at positions 57 to 772 of the family's 1533-position model. The record is from RNAcentral.
GCAAGUCGAACGAGACCUUCGGGUCUAGUGGCGCACGGGUGCGUAACGCGUGGGAAUCUGCCCUUGGGUUCGGAAUAACAGUUGGAAACGACUGCUAAUACCGGAUGAUGACGUAAGUCCAAAGAUUUAUCGCCCAGGGAUGAGCCCGCGUAGGAUUAGCUAGUUGGUGAGGUAAAGGCUCACCAAGGCGACGAUCCUUAGCUGGUCUGAGAGGAUGAUCAGCCACACUGGGACUGAGACACGGCCCAGACUCCUACGGGAGGCAGCAGUGGGGAAUAUUGGACAAUGGGCGAAAGCCUGAUCCAGCAAUGCCGCGUGAGUGAUGAAGGCCUUAGGGUUGUAAAGCUCUUUUACCCGGGAUGAUAAUGACAGUACCGGGAGAAUAAGCUCCGGCUAACUCCGUGCCAGCAGCCGCGGUAAUACGGAGGGAGCUAGCGUUGUUCGGAAUUACUGGGCGUAAAGCGCACGUAGGCGGCGAUCUAAGUCAGAGGUGAAAGCCCGGGGCUCAACCCCGGAAUAGCCUUUGAGACUGGAUUGCUUGAAUCCAGGAGAGGUGAGUGGAAUUCCGAGUGUAGAGGUGAAAUUCGUAGAUAUUCGGAAGAACACCAGUGGCGAAGGCGGCUCACUGGACUGGUAUUGACGCUGAGGUGCGAAAGCGUGGGGAGCAAA